GAGCUGUUUGGCUUCUCAGGACCCAUACUGUGGAUGGCAUAGCUCCAGGGGCUGUGUGGAUAUCAGGGGAUCUGGUGGGACUGAUGUGGAUCAGGCUGGGAACCAGGAAUCCAUGGAGCAUGGUGACUGCCAAGGUAAACAGAAGAGGCAGCUGCUGUUGCAGCCAAAGCUGCACAUGGCCAUGAUGGCCACAGACACCAUCCCAGGCUUGGCCUUUUGUCCUUCUCUCCUUCUGUGGCACAGUCACCCCAUCAGUUCUUCAUGAAGCUUCUCUUUCCCCCCAUCUUCACCCUGUCCCUUCUUCAUAGAUGGAGCUACUGGGAGUCAGUCUGGCCCUGGGGAUUCUGCUUAUGGUGAGUCCUCUUGUCCCAACCUCACCUUCCCUUGCUCAGCCCACAUACCUGAGUGUGUGUCCUGUAGCAG
Molecule: non-coding RNA, 423 nt
Filed under: Pan troglodytes (chimpanzee)
Lineage: Eukaryota; Metazoa; Chordata; Mammalia; Primates; Hominidae
Also listed under: 1 other name
Source: RNAcentral